GGACACGGUGCCUGUAGUUCUUUUCAACCAACAAAGCGAAACCCUAGUUGUCGUUGCCUUCAACCACCAUCACAACUUCAAGCUCUUGCUGGACAUUCCUUCCUCCCUACCACGUCUAUUGGCAAUUGACAGAUCCAGCUUUUUAUCUUCAGUUGUGCAGUGCUGUUGAACAGUGAAGUAUUUCCAGCGGCAGAUCCAGCAUUGUGGAGGGCUAUUGAACAGUGAAGUAUAUGCGAUCAUCUUUGCUGUUUUUGCUUAGAUUUAUAAGAUAGACAACCAACAUCGCUUUCGGUGAGAAUGUUCUUUCCUGCAGAGACGAUCCUGUCUUUUUCAGUUAACCUAAUACUACAGAAAUUAGCUUCUCCAGAUUUGCUGAAACUGGCUCGCAGAGAACACGUCCAUAAGGAGCUGAAGAAGUGGGAUAAAAUACUGCGUCAGAUUCAUGCAGUG
Molecule: unclassified non-coding RNA, 450 nt
Filed under: Hevea brasiliensis (rubber tree)
Lineage: Eukaryota; Viridiplantae; Streptophyta; Magnoliopsida; Malpighiales; Euphorbiaceae
Source: RNAcentral